This 680-nucleotide ribosomal RNA is filed under the name uncultured bacterium. Its description in RNAcentral is "bacterial SSU rRNA". It matches the Rfam family "Bacterial small subunit ribosomal RNA", at positions 105 to 801 of the family's 1533-position model. The record is from RNAcentral.
GGUGAGUAACACGUGGGUAACCUGCCUCAAAGAGGGGGAUAGCCUCCCGAAAGGGAGAUUAAUACCGCAUAAUAAGUGCAGUUCGCAUGAACCGCACUUUAAAGGAGAAAUCCGCUUUGAGAUGGACCCGCGGCGCAUUAGCUAGUUGGUAAGGCAGCGGCUUACCAAGGCAACGAUGCGUAGCCGACCUGAGAGGGUGAACGGCCACAUUGGAACUGAGAGACGGUCCAGACUCCUACGGGAGGCAGCAGUGGGGAAUAUUGCACAAUGGGCGAAAGCCUGAUGCAGCAACGCCGCGUGAGUGAAGAAGGUUUUCGGAUUGUAAAGCUCUGUCAUCUGGGACGAUAAUGACGGUACCAGAUGAGGAAGCCACGGCUAACUACGUGCCAGCAGCCGCGGUAAUACGUAGGUGGCAAGCGUUGUCCGGAAUUACUGGGCGUAAAGGGUGCGCAGGCGGACAUUUAAGUGAGAUGUGAAAGACCCGGGCUUAACUUGGGCAGUGCAUUUCAAACUGGAUGUCUGGAGUGCAGGAGAGGAGAACGGAAUUCCUAGUGUAGCGGUGAAAUGCGUAGAGAUUAGGAAGAACACCAGUGGCGAANGCGGUUCUCUGGACUGUAACUGACGCUGAGGCACGAAAGCGUGGGUAGCAAGCAGGAUUAGAUACCCUGGUAGUCCACGCC